RNAcentral lists this ribosomal RNA (205 nucleotides) under Rhizophagus intraradices. The record is from RNAcentral. Lineage: Eukaryota; Fungi; Glomeromycota; Glomeromycetes; Glomerales; Glomeraceae.
CAGUCGUACCGGCGGAUAAUCAGCCUUUCGGGUGCGAUUCUGUGGGGCGUGAGGAGCUUAACCGCCUUCAUGUUUUGCAUAUUCGUGCACAUUUGGUGUACUUGUCCGUGUGGUGGGUUAACAUCAAUUUUGGUGAUCAUAAAAUGACUAGAGAAUGUAGCUUCGAUCUCGUAUUGAAGUGUUAUAGCCUUUGGAGAUGUGAUGA